UGGCCAUUUACUUUAUUCAGUUUCUUCUCAAGGUGAGGAAAACUCUUUGUAAAUAUCCUAGAGAAAUAUAGUAGCUUUAUGUUCACACUUUGCAAGUAAAAAAGGUGGAUCAUUCCACUACUGACAUAU
RNAcentral lists this small nucleolar RNA (129 nucleotides) under Myotis davidii. Its description in RNAcentral is "Small Cajal body specific RNA 24". It matches the Rfam family "Small Cajal body specific RNA 24". Rfam says of the family: scaRNAs are a specific class of small nuclear RNAs which localise to the Cajal bodies and guide the modification of RNA polymerase II transcribed spliceosomal RNAs U1, U2, U4, U5 and U12. ACA12 belongs to the H/ACA box class of guide RNAs as it has the predicted hairpin-hinge-hairpin-tail structure,the conserved H/ACA-box motifs and is found associated with GAR1. Lineage: Eukaryota; Metazoa; Chordata; Mammalia; Chiroptera; Vespertilionidae. The record is from Rfam by way of RNAcentral.